AUGCCCUCCCCUGCUCUCCCUUGUGCCAGCUUCCCUGGAAUGGUACUGCCUGAUAAAACAGUGCAGAAACUUCUCAGUGUUCUCCUUGUGGGGAACAUAAGCCAAGAGGCUUGUUUCCAGGGGAGGUUCUCGGAAGCAGACCCUUGUACUAGGACUUCGAGUUUGAUUAUUUACCCAAGUUUGGCCCAAGUCCAUCUCACAAUGAGGUCCAUGAGUGCAUGAAUUCACCCUGUAGGUUAUUUUCCUCCACCUUUUAAUAUAUAUUUUGGAUAGAUGCACUUUAUCAUUUGGUAGAAUUCACCUCGGUGGCUUCUGAACCUGUGAUUUAAGGUUGAUUAUGGUAUAAAUGGCCAAGUGGAAACACUUGAAACUCACCACUGUAUCAUGGAAAGCCCUGUAGAGAACUGUACCUAUACCAAAAACUUAAGAGGGUACAUGAUCAUUUUCCCCCAUCAAGUCCCCAUUGAUUUCUCUUUGUCUCUAUAAAAACUUACAUGUCUAAAGCAAGUGGAUGUGGUAAAUUUAAAAAUUACUCCAAAUUGUGAGUUAAGUAAACUUAUUUUCUUUAUAAAUUUCCC
Molecule: long non-coding RNA, 578 nt
Filed under: Ictidomys tridecemlineatus (thirteen-lined ground squirrel)
Lineage: Eukaryota; Metazoa; Chordata; Mammalia; Rodentia; Sciuridae
Description: lncRNA (ENSSTOG00000033585.1)
Source: RNAcentral